GUAAACACCCGGUGGCUGACAAACUCGUAGAGGCUCGCCUUUCCGUGAAUUUCUCACCCAACUUUACGCCAAGAAAACUCCCUCCUACAUGGUUCUGCUGCUGCUGCUGCUAAGUCGCUUCAGUCGUCUCCGACUCUGUGGGACCCCAUAGACAGCAGCCCACCAGGCUCCCCCGUCCCUGGGAUUCUCCAGGCAAGAACACCGGAGUGGGUUGCCAUUUCCUUCUCCAAUGCGUGAAAGUGAAAGUGAAGUCGCUCAGUCGUGUCCAACUCUUCGAGACCCCAU
This is a long non-coding RNA of Bos taurus (domestic cattle), 285 nucleotides long. The record is from Ensembl. NCBI's taxonomy places the organism in Eukaryota, Metazoa, Chordata, Mammalia, Artiodactyla, Bovidae.